GGCAUGCCUGUCUGAGUCUCAUU
Molecule: ribosomal RNA, 23 nt
Filed under: salal root associated fungus UBCtra1462.6
Lineage: Eukaryota; Fungi
Description: partial 5.8S ribosomal RNA
Source: RNAcentral